This 479-nucleotide ribosomal RNA is filed under the name uncultured bacterium. RNAcentral describes it as "partial 16S ribosomal RNA". It matches the Rfam family "Bacterial small subunit ribosomal RNA", at positions 28 to 507 of the family's 1533-position model. The record is from RNAcentral.
GAUGAACGCUGGCGGCGUGCUUAACACAUGCAAGUCGAACGAAGCACCUUGAUUUGAUUCUUCGGAUGAAGAUCUUGGUGACUGAGUGGCGGACGGGUGAGUAACGCGUGGGUAACCUGCCUCAUACAGGGGGAUAACAGUUAGAAAUGACUGCUAAUACCGCAUAAGACCACAGCACCGCAUGGUGCAGGGGUAAAAACUCCGGUGGUAUGAGAUGGACCCGCGUCUGAUUAGGUAGUUGGUGGGGUAACGGCCUGCCAAGCCGACGAUCAGUAGCCGACCUGAGAGGGUGACCGGCCACAUUGGGACUGAGACACGGCCCAAACUCCUACGGGAGGCAGCAGUGGGGAAUAUUGCACAAUGGGGGAAACCCUGAUGCAGCGACGCCGCGUGAGCGAUGAAGUAUUUCGGUAUGUAAAGCUCUAUCAGCAGGGAAGAAAAUGACGGUACCUGACUAAGAAGCACCGGCUAAAUACGUG